This 496-nucleotide ribosomal RNA is filed under the name uncultured bacterium. RNAcentral describes it as "partial 16S ribosomal RNA". It matches the Rfam family "Bacterial small subunit ribosomal RNA", at positions 29 to 507 of the family's 1533-position model. The record is from RNAcentral.
AUGAACGCUGGCUGCGUGCCUAAUACCUGCACGUCGCGCGAACAGACGAGGAGCUUGCUCCUCUGACGUUAGCGGCGGACGGGUGAGUAACACGUGGAUAACCUACCUAUAAGACUGGGAUAACUUCGGGAAACCGGAGCUAAUACCGGAUAAUAUAUUGAACCGCAUGGUUCAAUAGUGAAAGACGGUUUUGCUGUCACUUAUAGAUGGAUCCGCGCCGCAUUAGCUAGUUGGUAAGGUAACGGCUUACCAAGGCAACGAUGCGUAGCCGACCUGAGAGGGUGAUCGGCCACACUGGAACUGAGACACGGUCCAGACUCCUACGGGAGGCAGCAGUAGGGAAUCUUCCGCAAUGGGCGAAAGCCUGACGGAGCAACGCCGCGUGAGUGAUGAAGGUCUUCGGAUCGUAAAACUCUGUUAUUAGGGAAGAACAAAUGUGUAAGUAACUAUGCACGUCUUGACGGUACCUAAUCAGAAAGCCACGGCUAACUACGUG